GAUGAACGCUGGCGGCGUGCCUAAUACAUGCAAGUCGAGCGAACAGAUGAGGAGCUUGCACCUCUGACGUUAGCGGCGGACGGGUGAGUAACACGUGGAUAACCUACCUAUAAGACUGGGAUAACUUCGGGAAACCGGAGCUAAUACCGGAUAAUAUAUUGAACCGCAUGGUUCAAUAGUGAAAGACGGUUUUGCUGUCACUUAUAGAUGGAUCCGCGCCGCAUUAGCUAGUUGGUAAGGUAACGGCUUACCAAGGCAACGAUGCGUAGCCGACCUGAGAGGGUGAUCGGCCACACUGGAACUGAGACACGGUCCAGACUCCUACGGGAGGCGGCAGUAGGGAAUCUUCCGCAAUGGGCGAAAGCCUGACGGAGCAACGCCGCGUGAGUGAUGAAGGUCUUCGGAUCGUAAAACUCUGUUAUUAGGGAAGAACAAAUGUGUAAGUAACUAUGCACGUCUUGACGGUACCUAAUCAGAAAGCCACGGCUAACUACGUG
Molecule: ribosomal RNA, 497 nt
Filed under: uncultured bacterium
Lineage: Bacteria
Description: partial 16S ribosomal RNA
Rfam family: Bacterial small subunit ribosomal RNA
Source: RNAcentral